Molecule: ribosomal RNA, 1357 nt
Filed under: metagenome
Description: bacterial LSU rRNA
Rfam family: Bacterial large subunit ribosomal RNA
Source: RNAcentral
UUACUGGAUGGUCUAGGGGGCCUACAAGCUUACCGAAAUCAGCCAAGCUCCGAAUGCCGGUAGGUUAGAGCGCGGCAGUGAGACUGUGGGGGAUAAGCUCCAUGGUCGAGAGGGAAACAACCCAGAUCACCAGCUAAGGUCCCUGAGCGUGUGCUAAGUGGGAAAGAAUGUGGGGUCGCACAGACAACCAGGAGGUGGCUUAGAAGCAGCCACCCUUUAAAGAGUGCGUAAUAGCUCACUGGUCAAGUGGUCCUGCGCCGACAAUGUAACGGGGCUCAAGCACACCACCGAAGCUGUGACAUUCAUGCAAUAGUCCGCCGACAUCCUACGGGGUGCCGGCCAGACGUGUGGAUGGGUAGGGGAGCGUCGUGUGCCGGAGGAAGCGGCGGGGGAACCCAGCCGUGGACGGCACACGAGUGAGAAUGCAGGCAUGAGUAGCGAAAGAAGAGUGAGAAACUCUUCCGCCGAAUGACCAAGGGUUCCUGGGGCAGGCUAAUCCGCCCAGGGUAAGUCGGGACCUAAGGCGAGGCCGACAGGCGUAGUCGAUGGACAACGGGUUGAUAUUCCCGUACCCGCGAAUGAACGCCCAUGCUGAACCUGGUAAUGCUAAGCGCCCAAAGUCGCGGAGUCCUUCGGGACGAUGUGAUGGAGCGCGUGACCCGAACCAGUAUUAGGUAAGCGAUGGGGUGACGCAGGAAGGUAGUCAUACCGGUCAGUGGUAACACCGGAGCAACGCAGUAGGGCGUGAUGUAGGCAAAUCCGCAUCACACUAAGCCUGAGAGCGGACGCAUAGCCGAAUGAGGCGAAUUUGAUGAUCCUAUGCUGCCAAGAAAAGCCUCUAGCGAGUUCAUAGCGGCCCGUACCCCAAACCGACACAGGUGGUCAGGUAGAGAAUACCAAGGCGAUCGGGUGAUCUAUGGUUAAGGAACUCGGCAAAAUACCCCCGUAACUUCGGGAGAAGGGGGACCAGGCGACGUGUAGGGACUUGCUCCCGAAGCGUUGUGUGGCCGCAGAGACCAGCGAGAAGCGACUGUUUACUAAAAACACAGGUCCGUGCGAAGUCGCAAGACGAUGUAUACGGACUGACGCCUCCCCGGUGCUGGAAGGUUAAGAGGACGGGUCAGCCGUAAGGCGGAGCUCAGAAUUUAAGCCCCAGUAAACGGCGGUGGUAACUAUAACCAUCCUAAGGUAGCGAAAUUCCUUGUCGGGUAAGUUCCGACCUGCACGAAUGGCGUAACGACUUCUCGACUGUCUCAACCAUAGGCCCGGCGAAAUUGCACUACGAGUAAAGAUGCUCGUUACGCGCGGCAGGACGGAAAGACCCCGGGACCUUUACUAUAGCUUGAUAUUGGUGCCC